RNAcentral lists this ribosomal RNA (444 nucleotides) under uncultured bacterium. Its description in RNAcentral is "SSU rRNA". It matches the Rfam family "Bacterial small subunit ribosomal RNA", at positions 26 to 518 of the family's 1533-position model. The record is from RNAcentral.
AGAACGAACGCUGGCGGCAGGCUUAACACAUGCAAGUCGAGCGCCCCGCAAGGGGAGCGGCAGACGGGUGAGUAACGCGUGGGAACAUACCCUCCGGUUCGGAAUAGCUCAGGGAAACUUGGAUUAAUACCGGAUACGGCCUAGCGGCGAAAGAUUCAUCGCCGGAGGAUUGGCCCGCGUCUGAUUAGCUAGUUGGUGGGGUAAUGGCCCACCAAGGCGACGAUCAGUAGCUGGUCUGAGAGGAUGAUCAGCCACAUUGGGACUGAGACACGGCCCAAACUCCUACGGGAGGCAGCAGUGGGGAAUAUUGGACAAUGGGCGCAAGCCUGAUCCAGCCAUGCCGCGUGAGUGAUGACGGCCUUAGGGUUGUAAAGCUCUUUCGCUAGGGACGAUAAUGACGGUACCGGGAGAAUAAGCCCCGGCUAACUUCGUGCCAGCAGCCGC